UAUACUAAAUAUUUUUGUCUGUACGAAGAGCACGUGGGAAUAGCAAGUGUCUUCAAUUUCGUAGAGCAUUGGUAACUGUGAAGUCUAAAAUACGUUUUAUUAUCUACGUUUGCUGUGGACUGUUGGAAGUUUCUGCGUUUCUUCCAUUUGGUUCUGUUUAGCGUAGCAGCAGAUCUUCCCUCACUAGUAAACCAUGGAAGCUUUCAACGAGGGAGUUUUAAUCGGAGGUGCGCACGUGGAAACUACAGAGAAGGGCUGUCCUGUCUGUGGUGCGGAGGAUAGCCGUACCAUAUCGCUUCCAGCAGGAGCACUGCCCAAGUCCUUAGAGUUAAAAAUCAGAUGUCAGAGGAAACGUGAAAUUUAUGGGCAGUUGACGGUGGACUCUCUUGUGCGUAAGUAUAAGGGAAGGCUGUCGAAAGAGGAAUACAGGGCUAAACUACAGGCAAUUAGGCGAGAAGACCUUAUAAAGAUUAAAAAACAAGUCGAUGAAGAAUUGCGAUCAGCCUUGGAAAGAAGGAAGCAACCACUCGCAGCGCGAAUGUUUAGAAUAAGGCCCCAGAAACCUGAACUGCAAAUUGGAGGCUGUAUUUGUCACGAAAUGGAGAGUCUGAAACAAAAAUGGCGGAAGUUAAAAAGCGACGUAGCGUUGGCAAACGAGGAACGUUCCGAAAGCUUAAGGAAGUGUUUUAAAAAAAAGCUUGUGAUUUCAUAAGUGUUUUUGCUUUUAUAAACUGAUCUCAAUUUCAAAGGAGCUGUUGGUUCUUUAGUGAUAAGCAUUUUUAUGCCCUGACUGAUGGUGUUGUGUGAAAUGUCAAAUGUGAGCAUUCUGAAAAAAUACAAUCACUUCUUCUUUAGUGUUUUAAUGCUGUAAUUAUAACAGUAUUAUUCUCUUUGUGUAUUUAUUUGGUCUCCAACUAGCCAUGUGGUUAGCUAAUUGGUAAUAGUUGAAGCUGUUUGGGAAUGUACCACUACAGAGAAUCAGUUUAGUGUAAUGUAAUAGUAAUGCGAAAAGGCUUCCAUCCUAUAUUUUAAUAAUUUUGAUUUAGCAAAGUAUCAAACUUUUUGCCUCUAGGAUGUGUACCGUGUUCAAAAUGCUUGUGGCGCAAAGAUUUGACUUUAAGGCCGAGGUCUACGUUUUUUUGUUGUAAUUUUUUUUAUUUAAUAAUUAGUUUAUGUUCCCGAGAGGAAAUCAGCAGUAUUCCUUGUAUUAGAAAUUUCUUAUUCACAAAACAGGACUUUUAUAGCUGUGGUGUAUUUGUGUAAGACAUUAAAUUCGAUAUAGACAUAUGUUUAAAAAUGGAUCAAGACGAACGUUGGGUACAAGUCGUUGGCAUUAUCUGGUGACGUAAUGCUAAUGUAUGCUGUCACGUCACCUUUUUCGUUAGUUGGUGUAGCAAACGAAUGUGGAGAAAGAGUAGAAAACUAGUUGUAGUGACACAUUGGUCUGUAGCCUAGCAUGAGCUAUGUGUUCGGUUGGAAGGUAACAGUUUGUCUGUUGGUGAAGCCAACGAAAGUGAUAAUUUUAAAAAAUUCAGUGUCUUGAAGCUGAUAUGUGGCGGGUUCUAGGCUAGAAUAGAUGACAGUUAAAGUUGGGGGAGGGGGAAGACCUGCUUGUGCUGGCAGACUGAUCUGUAAUAGGUACCAAUUCGUUUGAAGCAAACUCCAGUAGCCGUUGUAGUCACGAUUGUUGACUACGCAGUUCUGUCACUAGUUUCCUAUGACACUAGUCAAAGCCGAUGAAAGUUUGUGUUAUGUGUAAAUAGAUUCAGCAGAUCGUUUGUGUCUAGUCGUCAUAGUUACUGGGUUGUUCAACAAAGUAUCUGUACACAUUUCCCCAAGGUAGAUAAUUGACGAAUUAUGCAUUGCAUCACUUCAGGUGAACUAUUCUGAAUGAACCACUGUUGACGACUUAAAUAGUAGCGUCAAAGGAGAGUGAAAAAUUAGGGACUGUAGGAAAAGUUCCGUUUAGAUGCAGUUUUUUUUUUAAGUAAGCUGGGCUGAAAUUUUUGUCAGUACAAACUCAUAUUUUAUGCUUUACUAACAUGGUGUUACAUUUAAUGCCAAACAGAAUCAUGGUUUUCUACAAUCGCAUUUCUUCUGUAAAUCAGUAAAAAAAAAAAAGUGUGAUAGCAAUGCAAGAAGCUACUUACAGGUAGGUUUGCAGUAUUCAAACUACUGUGGAACACAGUGGCAUUAUUUAUUUUCAUACUUUGUAUUAAAACACUCUGCUUCAUUAUUAGCAACCUUCUUGGACAGUUUUUCAAAUCAUCGUUUGAAAUUGUGCAGGACGUCUAUGUACAGGCCACUUAAAACAUUGCUACAUAUACGUAUACUGAAUUACCGUACUAAAGAGUGCAGCCUAAUAAAAAAGGGGGCAAUAAAAUUUUUGUAUUUGCUGUGUUUGUGGUAGAUACAUAAAGUAUGAAUGCAAAACACUAUGCUUUUAUGGACUGUUAAGAUAUUAACAAAGUACUUUUUGUGUUUAACAUCAUAUCUUAAGUUAGUAUGUAUGUAGCUUCCCCCACCCUUGGUAAAAUUUUGUUGAAGAUAUACAUUUUUUAAAUAUAUAUAUAUAAUCAGAUUUUUAGGAAUAUGUCAUACUCAUAAUUUAUAUUACCGCAUUGGAUUGUUUAUUAUUGUGUGGACCCUCAAUUGGAGGCUUUCUUGGCGCAUACCAAUGCAAAAAUCUUCUGAGUGAUCUGAAUGGUGGCAUCUUGUCACAGCAUUUGUCAGUUUUGAACCCAUCAUCUUUCCCUGAAGAUGGUGUUCGUGACAAGUUGAUGCAACCAGUCAGCUGAUCACCCAAGAAGUAUGGUACAGAAUGUCACCAAUAAAUGUACCUACUUUGUCAUGCAAAUAUGUAAACCUUUUUGUUACAUCUUGUGGGUUGAAAACUCCACGCUCUCCCUCCCCACCCUCAGAUAAUCAGUAGUAAUCGGUUGUAGGGGCAAAUGUGCAAUCCUCCUUUUUUGUGACUCAAAUGGGUGAUACACCUUUACAACUAUUCCCACAUGUAGUUAAGAUUGAUAAACAUUGCAGAAUAAAUAUCAAGAAUUAUGAAUGUAAAUUAUUAUACCAGAAAAUAAACUUAAGUUGUUAGAAA
Schistocerca americana (American grasshopper) is the source of this 3103-nucleotide long non-coding RNA. RefSeq lists it as uncharacterized. The record is from RefSeq and is a predicted model, not a curated record. The transcript has 2 exons. Lineage: Eukaryota; Metazoa; Arthropoda; Insecta; Orthoptera; Acrididae.